GCAGUCGAACGGACUCAUAUUGAAACCUAGUGAUUUAUGAGUUAGUGGCGGACGGGUGAGUAACGCGUGGAAAACCUGCCGUAUACCGGGGGAUAACACUUAGAAAUAGGUGCUAAUACCGCAUAAGCGCACAGCUUCGCAUGAAGCAGUGUGAAAAACUCCGGUGGUAUACGAUGGUUCCGCGUCUGAUUAGCUAGUUGGCGGGGUAACGGCCCACCAAGGCAGCGAUCAGUAGCCGGCCUGAGAGGGUGAACGGCCACAUUGGGACUGAGACACGGCCCAAACUCCUACGGGAGGCAGCAGUGGGGAAUAUUGCACAAUGGGGGAAACCCUGAUGCAGCGACGCCGCGUGAGUGAAGAAGUAUUUCGGUACGUAAAGCUCUAUCAGCGGGGAAGAAAAUGACGGUACCUGACUAAGAAGCCCCGGCUAACUACGUGCCAGCAGCCGCGGUAAUACGUAGGGGGCAAGCGUUAUCCGGAUUUACUGGGUGUAAAGGGAGCGUAGACGGCAGCGCAAGUCUGGAGUGAAAUGCCGGGGCCCAACCCCGGAACUGCUUUGGAAACUGUGCAGCUUGAGUGCGGGAGAGGUAAGUGGAAUUCCUAGUGUAGCGGUGAAAUGCGUAGAUAUUAGGAGGAACACCAGUGGCGAAGGCGGCUUACUGGACCGUAACUGACGU
This 677-nucleotide ribosomal RNA is filed under the name uncultured bacterium. Its description in RNAcentral is "bacterial SSU rRNA". It matches the Rfam family "Bacterial small subunit ribosomal RNA", at positions 57 to 746 of the family's 1533-position model. The record is from RNAcentral.